RNAcentral lists this ribosomal RNA (497 nucleotides) under uncultured bacterium. RNAcentral's name for it is "partial 16S ribosomal RNA". It matches the Rfam family "Bacterial small subunit ribosomal RNA", at positions 28 to 507 of the family's 1533-position model. The record is from RNAcentral.
GACGAACGCUGGCGGCGUGCCUAAUACAUGCAAGUAGAACGCUGAAGAGAGGAGCUUACUCUUCUUGGAUGAGUUGCGAACGGGUGAGUAACGCGUAGGUAACCUGCCUUGUAGCGGGGGAUAACUAUUGGAAACGAUAGCUAAUACCGCAUAACAAUGGAUGACACAUGUCAUUUAUUUGAAAGGGGCAAUUGCUCCACUACAAGAUGGACCUGCGUUGUAUUAGCUAGUAGGUGAGGUAAUGGCUCACCUAGGCGACGAUACAUAGCCGACCUGAGAGGGUGAUCGGCCUCACUGGGACUGAGACACGGCCCAGACUCCUACGGGAGGCAGCAGUAGGGAAUCUUCGGCAAUGGGGGCAACCCUGACCGAGCAACGCCGCGUGAGUGAAGAAGGUUUUCGGAUCGUAAAGCUCUGUUGUAAGUCAAGAACGGGUGUGAGAGUGGAAAGUUCACAAUGUGACGGUAGCUUACCAGAAAGGGACGGCUAACUACGUG